UUCUCAUCACGGAUCUGUGCCCAGCGGUCCCUUGCUUCUACGGAAGUCCAAGGUCGACUGCUGUGCAGCUCGAUAACUCUAUGGAGCCAUCAACUUGUUAUGGUGUCAAUCAUCCUAUCGACAGGUCCAAAAAUGACUCGACAUUCGAGCCUUCGGGCUCAUGUUGAAAGGCACUAUAUUCCACCCCUUUUUUCCGAGACCGUCGGUCCGUGAGGUUGAGGUAAACCAUGCUGCCUAUAUUU
This 242-nucleotide small RNA is filed under the name Claviceps purpurea 20.1. Its description in RNAcentral is "A. fumigatus sRNA Afu_309". It matches the Rfam family "A. fumigatus sRNA Afu_309". The record is from Rfam by way of RNAcentral. Lineage: Eukaryota; Fungi; Ascomycota; Sordariomycetes; Hypocreales; Clavicipitaceae.